ACGCUCGACACCUACGGAGGGCAGCAGUUGGGAAUAUUGGACAAUGGAGGAAACUCUGAUCCAGUGACGCCGCGUGAAGGAAGAAGGUCUUCGGAUUGUAAACUUAUUUUGUCAGGGAAGAAAAAAAUAGACUGUACCUGAAGAAAAAGACACCGGCUAACUACGUGGCAGCAGCCGCGGUAAUCUGAGCGGGCUGGCAAGGC
RNAcentral lists this ribosomal RNA (203 nucleotides) under uncultured bacterium. RNAcentral describes it as "partial 16S ribosomal RNA". It matches the Rfam family "Bacterial small subunit ribosomal RNA", at positions 326 to 539 of the family's 1533-position model. The record is from RNAcentral.